Molecule: ribosomal RNA, 451 nt
Filed under: uncultured bacterium
Lineage: Bacteria
Description: bacterial SSU rRNA
Rfam family: Bacterial small subunit ribosomal RNA
Source: RNAcentral
GUGGGGAAUAUUGGACAAUGGGGGAAACCCUGAUCCAGCCAUGCCGCGUGUGUGAAGAAGGCCUUUUGGUUGUAAAGCACUUUAAGCGAGGAGGAGGCUACCGAGAUUAAUACUCUUGGAUAGUGGACGUUACUCGCAGAAUAAGCACCGGCUAACUCUGUGCCAGCAGCCGCGGUAAUACAGAGGGUGCAAGCGUUAAUCGGAUUUACUGGGCGUAAAGCGCGCGUAGGUGGCCAAUUAAGUCAAAUGUGAAAUCCCCGAGCUUAACUUAGGAAUUGCAUUCGAUACUGGUUGGCUAGAGUAUGGGAGAGGAUGGUAGAAUGCCAGGUGUAGCGGUGAAAUGCGUAGAGAUCUGGAGGAAUACCGAUGGCGAAGGCAGCCAUCUGGCCUAAUACUGACACUGAGGUGCGAAAGCAUGGGGAGCAAACAGGAUUAGAUACCCUAGUAGUCC